RNAcentral lists this ribosomal RNA (194 nucleotides) under uncultured Pseudomonas sp. Its description in RNAcentral is "partial 16S ribosomal RNA". It matches the Rfam family "Bacterial small subunit ribosomal RNA", at positions 338 to 524 of the family's 1533-position model. The record is from RNAcentral. Lineage: Bacteria; Pseudomonadati; Pseudomonadota; Gammaproteobacteria; Pseudomonadales; Pseudomonadaceae.
CCUACGGGAGGCAGCAGUGGGGAAUAUUGGACAAUGGGCGAAAGCCUGAUCCAGCAAUGCCGCGUGUGUGAAGAAGGCCUGCGGGUUGUAAAGCACUUUCAGUGGGGAAGAAAAGUGCAGCGCUAACAUCGCUGCAUCUUGACGUUACUCACAGAAGAAGCACCGGCUAACUCCGUGCCAGCAGCCGCGGUAAU